GACGAACGCUGGCGGCGUGCUUAACACAUGCAAGUCGAACGAUGAAGCUGGAGCUUGCUCCGGUGGAUUAGUGGCGAACGGGUGAGUAACACGUGAGCAAUCUGCCCUUGACUCUGGGAUAACUGCGGGAAACUGUAGCUAAUACCGGAUACGAGACCUGAAGGCAUCUUCGGGUCUGGAAAGAAUUUCGGUCAAGGAUGAGCUCGCGGCCUAUCAGCUUGUUGGUGAGGUAAUGGCACACCAAGGCGACGACGGGUAGCCGGCCUGAGAGGGUGACCGGCCACACUGGGACUGAGACACGGCCCAGACUCCUACGGGAGGCAGCAGUGGGCAAUAUUGCACAAUGGGCGAAAGCCUGAUGCAGCAACGCCGCGUGAGGGAUGAAGGCCUUCGGGUUGUAAACCUCUUUUAGCAGGGAAGAAGCGAAAGUGACGGUACCUAACCAGAAAGCCACGGCUAACUACGUGCCAGCCGCCGCGGUAA
This 483-nucleotide ribosomal RNA is filed under the name uncultured bacterium. Its description in RNAcentral is "partial 16S ribosomal RNA". It matches the Rfam family "Bacterial small subunit ribosomal RNA", at positions 28 to 523 of the family's 1533-position model. The record is from RNAcentral.